UACGUAGGCAGCGAGCGUUGUUCGGAGUUACUGGGCGUAAAGAGUGCGUAGGCGGUUUUCUAAGUUUGGUGUGAAAUCGUCCCGCUCAACUGGGAGGGUGCGCCGAAGACUGGAAGACUAGAGUGUGGGAGAGGUAAGCGGAAUUCCUGGUGUAGCGGUGAAAUGCGUAGAUAUCAGGAGGAACACCGGUGGCGAAGGCGGUCUCUGGCCGAUACUGACGCUGAGGAGCGAAAGCGUGGGAGCGAACAGG
Molecule: ribosomal RNA, 250 nt
Filed under: uncultured bacterium
Lineage: Bacteria
Description: partial 16S ribosomal RNA
Rfam family: Bacterial small subunit ribosomal RNA
Source: RNAcentral